RNAcentral lists this ribosomal RNA (743 nucleotides) under uncultured bacterium. RNAcentral describes it as "bacterial SSU rRNA". It matches the Rfam family "Bacterial small subunit ribosomal RNA", at positions 8 to 796 of the family's 1533-position model. The record is from RNAcentral.
AGAGUUUGAUCAUGGCUCAGGAUGAACGCUGGCGGUGUGCCUAAUACAUGCAAGUCGAACGGGCUCUUCGGAGCUAGUGGCGGACGGGUGAGUAACACGUUGGUACCUACCCCUAAGUGGGGAAUAACUGCCCGAAAGGGUGGCUAAUACCGCAUAAUCCCGCAAGGGUAAAGCAGUAAUGCGCUUAGGGAGGGGCCUGCGUCUGAUUAGCUAGUUGGUAGUGUAAUGGACUACCAAGGCGACGAUCAGUAGCUGGAUCGAGAGGUUGACCAGCCACACUGGGACUGAGAUACGGCCCAGACUCCUACGGGAGGCAGCAGUAAGGAAUCUUCCACAAUGGACGAAAGUCUGAUGGAGCAACACCGCGUGCAGGAUGACGGCCUUCGGGUUGUAAACUGCUUUUAUAUAGGAAGAUUAUGACGGUACUAUAUGAAUAAGGACCGGCUAACUACGUGCCAGCAGCCGCGGUAAUACGUAGGGUCCAAGCGUUAUCCGGAAUCACUGGGCGUAAAGCGUGCGUAGGUGGCGUGUUAAGUGUGGUGUUAAAUCGUGGGGCUCAACCCUAUCGAUGCAUCGCAUACUGGCAUGCUAGAGGGAAGCAGAGGCAAGUGGAAUUUGUAGUGUAGCAGUGAAAUGCGUAGAUAUUACAAGGAACACCAAUGGCGAAGGCGCUUGCUGGGCUUCUUCUGACACUGAGGUACGAAAGCGUGGGGAGCGAACAGGAUUAGAUACCCUAGUAGUCC